GAGCCUGGGUUUGGUUGAAGGUGGCAGUGCUGUUCUGUUUGGGCUGAGAUCACUGUCUAGCCUCCUGGAGGUGUCAUUGUUGUGAGGGCUCGUCUUGGGGAGGUAGACUGUACAGCCUAACCCGGCGGGGGAGUGUGAUAGCCUAACAAGGCUUCCCUCCCUGGGUCUACCUCCUCUGUGGUAAUAUAGGUAAGGUAAAGGAGGUUGUUCGGUUAGUGUGGGGAGCAGUGAGACCUGGCAUUGGGGAGUGUCUCUGGGACGCCAGAGAUCACUGUCUAGCCUCCUGGAGGUGUCGUGGGACCAACUAGACGAAACACCGGUGAAAGGAGGUUCCCACCCGAUGACCCCAAAGACAUGUUAGUUAUCACUGCUCAUUGGUCUGUAUAGUUAAGCCUUGCCAUAAUAGUUUGUCGUAGGGCUUAGGAGGUUAUUCACUGAGUGCUGAUCCCUUUUUAUUUAUUUAUUUAUUUACUUAUUUAUUUAUUUAUUUUUUUUAGAGCACAAACUUCUUGUGUUUAUUUGAAUUCAGAACUAGCCCAGCUAGUGACUGCUGUGAACAGGGCAGCUGACAACAAGGGAAAGACCAUGUGACCGCUUGGAAAGACAGCUGACAGGAGGAAAAGACCCCAAUGGUGCUGGCAUGGGUUAGCAACCCAUGGUAGCAGUGGUGAGGCCUAGCAGCCUUACUACAACCAAAAAUUAGCUACAGCCAACUUAGGAAAAAUACCCCAAGAGUCAGCGAGAGCAGGGGUGGAAGAUGACUCACAGGUGGAUUACACGGUAACAGACAUUGGAACGGACACGACUAUGACUUGGAUCUGUGACUCAGUGAAGGAUAGGGGCACGGACCUAUCCACCAGUGCUAGAAUUAGCAGCAGUCAGGGCAA
This is a long non-coding RNA of Epinephelus fuscoguttatus (brown-marbled grouper), 887 nucleotides long. RefSeq lists it as uncharacterized. The record is from RefSeq and is a predicted model, not a curated record. NCBI's taxonomy places the organism in Eukaryota, Metazoa, Chordata, Actinopteri, Perciformes, Serranidae. The transcript has 2 exons.